AGCAAUUUGACGCAGCGGAAGCGUGCAGGGCUCAUACGAUCGUCCCGGUCGCAGCGACACCCUGAAGUCCCUAGAUCGAAACUAGGAAUUGCUA
This is a non-coding RNA of Gelatoporia subvermispora B, 94 nucleotides long. The record is from the annotation of a GenBank genome assembly. NCBI's taxonomy places the organism in Eukaryota, Fungi, Basidiomycota, Agaricomycetes, Polyporales, Gelatoporiaceae.